This 465-nucleotide ribosomal RNA is filed under the name uncultured bacterium. RNAcentral's name for it is "partial 16S ribosomal RNA". It matches the Rfam family "Bacterial small subunit ribosomal RNA", at positions 338 to 795 of the family's 1533-position model. The record is from RNAcentral.
CCUACGGGAGACAGCAGUGGGGAAUAUUGCGCAAUGGGCGCAAGCCUGACGCAGCGACGCCGCGUGAGGGAUGAAGGUCUUCGGAUCGUAAACCUCUGUCAGCAGGGAAGAACGGUCACUGUGCUAAUCAGCAGUGACUUGACGGUACCUGCAAAGGAAGCACCGGCUAACUCCGUGCCAGCAGCCGCGGUAAUACGGAGGGUGCGAGCGUUAAUCGGAAUUACUGGGCGUAAAGCGCUCGUAGGCGGUAUGUCAAGUCAAGGGUGAAAUCCCCGGGCUCAACGUGGGAACUGCCUGUGAAACUGGCAAACUGGAGUGUGUGAGAGGAUAGUGGAAUUCCAGGUGGAGGAGGGGAAUCCGUAGAUAUCUGGAGGAACAUCAGUGGCGAAGGCGACUAUCUGGCACAUAACUGACGCUGAGGAGCGAAAGCAUGGGUAGCAAACAGGAUUAGAUACCCGUGUAGUC